GGCUGCACGUUGGUGCAGUUGGUAGCACUGUUGCCUUGCAGCGAGAAUGUCUUGGGUUAGACUCCCGGCACUGGGCCU
Non-coding RNA from Characodon lateralis, 78 nucleotides. The record is from the annotation of a GenBank genome assembly. Lineage: Eukaryota; Metazoa; Chordata; Actinopteri; Cyprinodontiformes; Goodeidae.